UACAGAGGUCUCAAGCGUUGUUCGGAUUCAUUGGGCGUAAAGGGUGCGUAGGUGGCGCGGAAAGUCGGGUGUGAAAUUUCGGAGCUUAACUCCGAAACUGCAUUCGAUACUUCCGUGCUUGAGGACUGGAGAGGAGACUGGAAUUUACGGUGUAGCAGUGAAAUGCGUAGAGAUCGUAAGGAAGACCAGUGGCGAGGGCGGGUCUCUGGACAGUUCCUGACACUGAGGCACGAAGGCCAGGGGAGCAAACGGG
This 253-nucleotide ribosomal RNA is filed under the name uncultured bacterium. RNAcentral describes it as "partial 16S ribosomal RNA". It matches the Rfam family "Bacterial small subunit ribosomal RNA", at positions 524 to 776 of the family's 1533-position model. The record is from RNAcentral.